UGGGGUGGGAGGUGGGGGACCACGGAGUGAGAUGUGGCUUCCCAGGACCCUUCUGGGUAUAGCUCGGAGUUCACAGGCUUGGCCCCAAGUUUACUGUUAACACUCAUGUGUGAGACAAGCACAGCCCGAGGACUGUACAGCACUCAGCACACUGGAAAACACUAGGAGGGGCAGCGGGAGGGUCCCAGGCUAAGAUUAUCUCAUUGUGGCUGAUUUUUCUUUGUUCUCUUUGCAUUGCUGGGGAUGAGCCAGGAGCCUCAGGGAUACUAAGGCUGGCUCCCAGUCCCUCCCUGGGGGGACACUAGGCAGGUGCUCUACCUCUGAGCCGUGCUCCCAACCCUUCCUUGGUAGAUUCUAGGCAGGCCCACUACUACUGAUCCGCACCCCCAGCCCUCUUGCAUCCGUAUUUGGUUGAAAAGCAUCGUAAGAAGGGAUAGAUAGAAGAAACGAGAAGCCUCCCCACCCCCCUUUAGUUUGCAAGUAGUUAUCUAUACCAGUGAGGACAGACUCAGCACAGAUGUAGAGUACAAGAGUCUGAGGGAGGCUGCAGCGAACAUGGGAGGGAUCUGUCUCUGCUAAUCCCGUUUUUUCUGUUUUAUAUUCCCCGAAGCAGCCCUGUUCCCAUCUUAUCUGAUGUGUUCGUAAUUGCUCUCUCCCAUUAUAAGGAGGACGUGGCACACGCAUGAACAUGCCAAGGGCAUCUGUCCUCGAGGAGCGUGGCUCUGAUUUGUGGUGCGCACUGCACAAGUCUCUCUUUGGAUUUUAUUAUUUGCGAGGGAGCUCAAGUUGAGUGUGCCAGGCACCACCAUGGUGGGUGAUCCAAGUUGCCACCCCUAGGCUUCUUCUAAGUAAGUGGGGUGGAGGGGAGACAACAGGGGAAGAUGGUGGGUUCACAGCGUUCUGUCUUCACACUCAGACCCAGCUUGUGGUUCAUGGCUGGAGAGGCCCAACACUUCCAGUGGAGGAACAGGAGCCACAAGCUCUUGGCUACUCCUCCUCUGUGAGGGUAGGGGUGGGUGAGCAACAGCAGUGUUCAUGGGGACAGCCAGUGGUCCAUCAAGGCCAGCUAUAGCCCCAGACCCAGGAGAUCACGCAUGCAUCAGAAUAAAGACAGAGGCCUUGAAGGGUUCAUUUGGCCAAUGGUGGGAUUAAAGGGCAGAUGGGCCAGUCUCCAGAAUGGGACUGAAACCUUGUUGUGUGUCCUGACACAGUGGCCCAGAGGCUACCUCCCCUAUUGCCAGGGUGUGGGUCAGCUGAGGCAAUUUCUGGGUUGUGAAGGUAUUCAUUAGCUUGACACUGAAAGAACCUGUCAGCCUCUCCCCCCAACCCCCAGCUCCCUGUAAACUCAAGAGCCUUCCUCCAUCAGGCCUGGGGUUGACCCUGCCUGGGCCAAAGGGUUAAGAAUGCCAGCCGUCUCUUCUGUUACUCAGUCAUCUCUCACAGUCCUUCUGCAAGCCUCUCCAGCUAGCCAGGUAUGUCCUGCAUUUACACUCGGUGAUAAGAUCUUCACUUGAACGUUCCUUCUGGUACAGCCACAGGUGUCCCUUCCUUGGCCAGUGACCCUCCUCCUCCGGGAUUCUCUUCACUGCCCACAACCACACUGUCUGCCUCUUGUUUGUUUCUUCACAUCCAGAAAAACAGCUCCAGGAAAAGGGCCUGGUCCUCUUUGCUGUGUCCGCUAUUUCUACCUAGCGUCAUACCUGCACAUAGCAGGGCCCAGCAGACCUUAGUGGGAUCUGGGGGUUCGUUUCGAAAGGCGUAGGCCUUUCUAGGGUGUUUGGCCGAGAAAUGAGCUGUCAGAACCCAGUCCAAGAGUGGGUGGGGAUGUGAGGGGAAUUCUGAGUGUGUGUGAGGAAACAAGAGCUUUGUGACCUCAAUUUCUUCAAAACCACAGAACUGUCUUUGGGAUGAGUUUCUGUGCCCUCCCGGGGGUAGCGGAUAGGAGUGAGUUUACCUCAGCUUAUUCAUCACAGCCAGCUAUUAUUUGCUUAUAUGCCUACAGAGAAACAGGAUUUUGCCACGUGCUGUUUGCCCGCCCCGUGCACCUUAACGUCGUGAGUGGACACGUGGCUCACAGGAGCCCUAGCCCUCAGGGUACAGGUCAUCUGACCUCUGGCUAAAGUUGGCUGCUCGUGAGACGGUCAUCAACCUCAUUCUUUUUAAGGCUCCACGCUCCCAGGUCUGCGGAGGCCGGGCUGGGGUAGGGAGGAGUUGCAGGUGAGAGGUACAGAGGCAUCUGGGGACCUGGCAUGAUGGGGACAGCUCAGGCUGUUUCAUUCUCUACAUCUUCCAUGGCUCAAUGACAGUCGUCGCCCCUCAGUCUCUCCUCUCCCAGUUCCACCUGCCCCACCUCCCCACUGUAAUCUUGUUUGGCAGCAAUUAAAUUUUAAAGUCCCA
Mus musculus (house mouse) is the source of this 2397-nucleotide long non-coding RNA. RefSeq annotates it as predicted gene, 35007. The record is from RefSeq and is a predicted model, not a curated record. The transcript has 2 exons. Lineage: Eukaryota; Metazoa; Chordata; Mammalia; Rodentia; Muridae.